CCCUUAGAUGUCCGGGGCCGCACGCGCGCUACACUGAAGGAAUCAGCGUGGCUUUCUCCCUGACCCGAAAGGGUUGGGAAACCCGUUGAAUCUCCUUCGUGAUAGGGAUUGGGGCUUGAAAUUGUUCCCCAUGAACGAGGAAUUCCCAGUAAGCGCGAGUCAUAAGCUCGCUUUGAUUACGUCCCUGCCCUUUGUACACACCGCCCGUCGCUACUACCGAUUGAACGGUUUAGUGAGGGCCUCGGAUUGGUCUCGGCCCGCUCUUUACCGGGCGGCGCCGUUGGUCGAGAAGACGCUCGAACUUGAUCGUUUAGAGGAAGUAAAAGUCGUAACA
RNAcentral lists this ribosomal RNA (334 nucleotides) under uncultured eukaryote. RNAcentral's name for it is "partial 18S ribosomal RNA". It matches the Rfam family "Eukaryotic small subunit ribosomal RNA", at positions 1470 to 1796 of the family's 1831-position model. The record is from RNAcentral.